GAUGAACGCUGGCGGCGUGCCUAAUACAUGCCAGUCGAGCGAACAGACGAGAGUGCUUGCACUCUCUGACGUUAGCGGCGGACGGGUGAGUAACACGUGGGUAACCUACCUAUAAGACUGGGAUAACUUCGGGAAACCGGAGCUAAUACCGGAUAAUAUUUAGCUUCGCAUGAAGCAAUAGUGAAAGACGGUUCUGCUGUCACUUAUAGAUGGACCCGCGGUGUAUUAGCUAGUUGGUGAGGUAACGGCUCACCAAGGCAACGAUACAUAGCCGACCUGAGAGGGUGAUCGGCCACACCGGGACUGAGACACGGCCCAGACUCCUACGGGAGGCAGCAGUAGGGAAUCUUCCGCAAUGGACGAAAGUCUGACGGAGCAAUGCCGCGUGAGUGAAGAAGGUUUUCGGUUCGUAAAACUCUGUUGUAAGGGAAGAACAAGUACGUUAGUAACUGAACGUACCUUGACGGUACCUUACCAGAAAGCCACGGCUAACUACGUG
This 499-nucleotide ribosomal RNA is filed under the name uncultured bacterium. RNAcentral describes it as "partial 16S ribosomal RNA". It matches the Rfam family "Bacterial small subunit ribosomal RNA", at positions 28 to 507 of the family's 1533-position model. The record is from RNAcentral.